GAUGAACGCUGGCGGCGUGCCUAAUACAUGCAAGUCGAGCGAACGGACGAGAAGCUUGCUUCUCUGAUGUUAGCGGCGGACGGGUGAGUAACACGUGGAUAACCUACCUAUAAGACUGGGAUAACUUCGGGAAACCGGAGCUAAUACCGGAUGAUAUUUUGAACCGCAUGGUUCAAAAGUGAAAGACGGUCUUGCUGUCACUUAUAGAUGGAUCCGCGCUGCAUUAGCUAGUUGGUAAGGUAACGGCUUACCAAGGCAACGAUGCAUAGCCGACCUGAGAGGGUGGUCGGCCACACUGGAACUGAGACACGGUCCACACUCCUACGGGAGGCAGCAGUAGGGAAUCUUCCGCAAUGGGCGAAAGCCUGACGGAGCAACGCCGCGUGAGUGAUGAAGGUCUUCGGAUCGUAAAACUCUGUUAUUAGGGAAGAACAUAUGUGUAAGUAACUGUGCACAUCUUGACGGUACCUAAUCAGAAAGCUACGGCUAACUACGUG
This 497-nucleotide ribosomal RNA is filed under the name uncultured bacterium. Its description in RNAcentral is "partial 16S ribosomal RNA". It matches the Rfam family "Bacterial small subunit ribosomal RNA", at positions 28 to 507 of the family's 1533-position model. The record is from RNAcentral.